RNAcentral lists this unclassified non-coding RNA (536 nucleotides) under Hevea brasiliensis (rubber tree). The record is from RNAcentral. Lineage: Eukaryota; Viridiplantae; Streptophyta; Magnoliopsida; Malpighiales; Euphorbiaceae.
UAAAAUUUCGGGAGAAUGAACAUUUGCUUUCUCUGCAUAUUCAUUCCUUGCUGAAUGCAGAACUGUCUCCACGAACAGAAAGUCAUGUUCCCGACAGCGCAGCAACACAGAUGGCUCCUUCAAUCUAAGCAAGCACUGAACAAUCAGUUCUUUCAAAAUGUGCCUGUAUUCAAGGAGGUCGUGGCUGACAUGCAGGAGCUCCUUCCCAGCUUCCUCCUUCAUGGAAUUAACUAAAUCAUCUUGAGCUUGAAGAACUUUAAGACGAGAAGCAUUCAGCUGCAUGGAGUACUCAAUUUUUCUACGAAUCUCCACUUGCUUCUCCUUUUUCUCAUACUCUUGUUUAAUCUUCUUCUUUUCAGCUUCAACCAGUUGCAACUUCGCAAUGUUGAAUUCCUCCUCGGCGGCGGCGUUGAUCUCGUUGGCCUUCUCCUCCGCCUCCUGGCGGAUGAACCUCACCAUCUGCUCGAUCUGCUUCGAGACAUCGGCGUCGUUCAUCUCCGGCAGCGGCGGUAGAUCGGAGCGAGGGCAGAACUGAU